AUUGAACGCUGGCGGCAUGCCUUACACAUGCAAGUCGAACGGCAGCACGGGAGCAAUCCUGGUGGCGAGUGGCGAACGGGUGAGUAAAGUAUCGGAACGUGCCCAGUCGUGGGGGAUAACGUAGCGAAAGUUACGCUAAUACCGCAUACGAUCUACGGAUGAAAGCGGGGGAUCGCAAGACCUCGCGCGAAUGGAGCGGCUGAAUGCAGAUGAGGUAGUUGGUGGGGUAAAGGCUCACCAAGCCGACGAUCUGUAGCUGGUCUGAGAGGACGACCAGCCACACUGGGACUGAGACACGGCCCAGACUCCUACGGGAGGCAGCAGUGGGGAAUUUUGGACAAUGGGCGCAAGCCUGAUCCAGCCAUGCCGCGUGCAGGAUGAAGGCCUUCGGGUUGUAAACUGCUUUUAUACGGAACGAAAAGGUUUGGCCUAAUAAGCUGGACCCAUGACGGUACCGUAAGAAUAAGCACCGGCUAACUACGUGCCAGCCGCCGCGGUAA
This 500-nucleotide ribosomal RNA is filed under the name uncultured bacterium. RNAcentral's name for it is "partial 16S ribosomal RNA". It matches the Rfam family "Bacterial small subunit ribosomal RNA", at positions 29 to 523 of the family's 1533-position model. The record is from RNAcentral.